Oreochromis aureus is the source of this 890-nucleotide long non-coding RNA. RefSeq lists it as uncharacterized. NCBI's taxonomy places the organism in Eukaryota, Metazoa, Chordata, Actinopteri, Cichliformes, Cichlidae. The transcript has 3 exons. The record is from RefSeq and is a predicted model, not a curated record.
CUAAAAGGUUUCCCUAAUAGUUCCUGGUGAAUCAAAGCAGAACCAUAAAGGUUGCUGGACUGCAUGAUGGCCUUACCCCUGAGCAGUCAUCCUGUUAAAGGAGGAACCAGUUAGAAGCUGUUUUCAAAGUAGCUGAGCAGAUUUCAUCUCAACAGACAAAGCCGAUGGCAGAAGAUGUUUGGAGAAGAACUUCAGGCCGUGGACUGAAAAGUAGAUCAAAGCAGCUCGUGCUCUGUCUGCUUCCAUUCUGAUGGCAAGAAGAAGAAGAAGGAGAAGAAUGCUUCAGCGAAGUGGCGUUCAUGGUCUCAGUGGACAGUCAUGGUCACACACUGCAUGUGGUUUUAAAAGCAACAUUGUUCACCACAACAAUGGAGAUGUGUAAUAUUAGUGCAGCUACGGUUUGUUCUUGAACAUCAGUUCUGUUUUCUACUUUGAUCACUUAGACCAAAAAAAGUGUUGUUUUCAGAUUCUUUCUUUUAAAUCUAUAAAGCACCUGUUCAUUUUUUAUUACAAUUAGUUUCACAUAAAUGUUAGUGUUUCCUUUAUGAUCUUUUAAUGCUUACACUACACUGUACACGUCUACAUUAGAGACAUUUCUGUUACCUAUGUAUGAGACUGGGCUGCUUGACUACAAUUUGGAAAUGGAUGCAAAAUCACACGGAUCGUGCUAUUGUUUGUUUUUUAAUGUGAUGGACUGAACACAGGAGGUAUCUGACUAAGCAAAGAUUAAUCUGAGCCCAUUUCUACCUGUCUCUACUGUUUCAACUGUAACUGUCAGGAUAUAUAUUUAUUCCAGCUCUCAUAGGGCAAAGGAAUGACUCAGACUUGUCAAAUGUUCUUUGAUUUGAUACACAAUAUGAAGUUCACAAUUUUCUUACAAAUAAAACUAU